This 2350-nucleotide long non-coding RNA is filed under the name Mytilus galloprovincialis (Mediterranean mussel). The record is from RNAcentral. Lineage: Eukaryota; Metazoa; Mollusca; Bivalvia; Mytilida; Mytilidae.
CAGAUAAAUGGUUUCUGCUAGACAUUGUUUCUGAAGCAGCUUCUGCACCUAUGUCAACAUUACUCAGUCACUUAAAUAUUUAAAGAAAUAGUUAGUUUGAUUUAUUUUUGUAAGUCUGUUCUGUCAUUCGCAGUUUUUAACAAUUUAUUUCUUAUCUGUAAUUAGUCAUUAUUGGCAAUGAUAAAUUUAGUAGGUCAUCCUAGGUUAAUUUUUUUUGGGUGCGCUAAAGCACACAGUCAUUCAUAAUGGCUACUUAACGUACUGUGAAUCACUCCUCGUCACAGAUGGGUGAUACUUUCAGUCGUGUGAAAAUGUUAAGGGCAGUCGUUGUAAAGUAUUGCAGUAUCAGAUUUUUUCAUGCAGAAGGGUACAGUAUAGUGAAUAUGUAAAUUUAAGUUGUGAAUAGUAAGUAUUUGAUACAUCCAGAUAUUAAAGAUAUAUUAAAAAAAAAAAUGUAGGGGUAUUUGAGAAAUUUUGAUUUUUUUAAAGUUAGGAAUACUAACUUUAGGAUAUCAAGUUUCAAAUAUAUAUUUUAUGCACUUCAUCGUGUUACAACCGUAUGAGGAGAUUCAAUACUAACAGCUGAUAUUUCAGUUAGUCGACAUUUGAAGGGUGUAUUUCCUUUAUACAUGCAAAAUGCGAGUGUGUUUAUAUAUAGUUUGCAGUAUCUCUAAUUGCACAUUAAAUCAGUAGUAAUUUUAUUAUAUUAAUGAAUGCUAUAUAUUAUUGAUCGCCACAUCUGUCUCGUGAGCUGAAUUAUUUCCUCGUGAGCUGAAUUAUUGUCUCGUACACUGAUGUUUUACCUUGUCAUUCUCGUAUCUUAAACAUGUAGAUACGCGCACCUAUUCCAUCGUUCUCCUAAAAAUAAUAAUAUUUGAAGAAAAAAAAGAAUAACUCAUGCAAAUAUAGAAUAAUUAAGGAAGUUUAUUCACAAGCCAUAAAAUACCUAAUUUGGUUUACACAUGAUUUCCUGAAAACAAGCUACAUGUUUUUGGUAAACGGAACUUAUUUUUAGAACAUGUAUAAUGUGCAUUUAGCAAACCGAACUAGGUUAACGUAGAAUUUCUAUAUUAUGUUAUAAUUCUUAACUUAACUGAGAUAAGAUCAUUCAUAUUUCUAUUAAACAUUUCAUUUUAUAAGUUUGAAAAUUACACACAACUGUGUUAUGAUCAGUUUUGUUUUGUGCUAUUAAAUGUUUGUCCCUCAACGCGAUUCGAACUCACACCUUAGCUAUGUCAACUUCAUUCAACUGCAAUGGUCAAAGUUUUACCUGUUACGUAAUGCUAAUCUAGAGAUAGACAUAAAACACGUGUUUUAAGUGUGUGAAGAUGCUAUAUUAUUAUUUAUAACAGUAAUAAAUAGGCUAUAUCACAGAUUUGGUUAAAACUUUUCAUUAAUUUUGUUUCGUUGAACUUAUAUAUAUGUGUGUAUUUUUUUUUUAAUUGUAGCAUUUAUUCCACAAUGUCAUCUGAUUGUUUUUGCAAGUUAUGUGGAAUUAUUUUCUUGCUUGCAUUAGAGAUAACAGAUCUUGUUUUGGAUUGGGACUUCUACGUAGAGGUUGUUAACACAACACAAGAACCUAUAAAUACUGCCAAAAAGCUACACACUGCAAUUCUUGUUUUUGCCAUUUUUGGAACAUGUGCAUGCGUUGCCAGCAUAUUGGUCAAGAUAGUUUGUGUCUUGAGGAAAAAAGAUGAUACAUUUUUCGUAAUACUUUCAUUGAUCUCGACGUGGUUUGAAGACUUUCCCCAAAUCAUCCUUGCAAUGAUUGUGGCUUUCAAGUCAUCCGAGUUAAUUGAUAAUGUACAAGUUAUCAAAGCAGGAUAUGCGAUUGUUGAGGCAGUUAUUCUAAUUCUGCGAUCGAUGUGGCUAUGUCGAAUUAAGGAGAUGUGUAUUAAAUACUGUUGUUGUGAUUGCAUAGAUGACGACGACGACUAUGAUGUUGAUGAGGAGAAUGCAAAUAAGUCAUGGAUCAAAACAGCAAUCAUAUUCGAUCUAAUUGGAGUUGUCAUCAUUCUUUUGUGUGCUAUAAUACUUAUGGUUGAACUUCAGAUAGAUGCUUUCAAAUAUACAAACGUUAUUGGCCAUUUUGCCAAUAGUACCAUGAGUACCUGGAAUGCGACUUAUCAAUAGUUAUCAAAGGUACCUGGCUUGUAAUACACUGAAUCCUUGAUUAUGUUCAGUAAUUGACAAAUUGUAUUGAUAGCAAAUUAAACAAAAACGAUUAAAAACAACUAAGUAGACAAAAACGAAGUUACUUUCUCAAAAGUUAGAAUUUAAUUACUGUGACAUUAUAUGAAUAUUUGUCUAGUAAUUUUACCCUGAAAAAUUACAAAAAGAAAUUGAGUCA